CAUGCAGUCGACGAGAUCUUCGGAUCUAGUGGCGCACGGGUGCGUAACGCGUGGGAAUCUGCCCUUGGGUUCGGAAUAACUUCUGGAAACGGAAGCUAAUACCGGAUGAUGACGUAAGUCCAAAGAUUUAUCGCCCAAGGAUGAGCCCGCGUAGGAUUAGCUAGUUGGUGAGGUAAAGGCUCACCAAGGCGACGAUCCUUAGCUGGUCUGAGAGGAUGAUCAGCCACACUGGGACUGAGACACGGCCCAGACUCCUACGGGAGGCAGCAGUAGGGAAUAUUGGACAAUGGGCGAAAGCCUGAUCCAGCAAUGCCGCGUGAGUGAUGAAGGCCUUAGGGUUGUAAAGCUCUUUUACCCGGGAUGAUAAUGACAGUACCGGGAGAAUAAGCUCCGGCUAACUCCGUGCCAGCAGCCGCGGUAAUACGGAGGGAGCUAGCGUUGUUCGGAAUUACUGGGCGUAAAGCGCACGUAGGCGGCUAUUCAAGUCAGAGGUGAAAGCCCGGGGCUCAACCCCGGAACUGCCUUUGAAACUAGAUAGCUUGAAUCCAGGAGAGGUGAGU
Molecule: ribosomal RNA, 560 nt
Filed under: bacterium het-d-1
Lineage: Bacteria
Description: bacterial SSU rRNA
Rfam family: Bacterial small subunit ribosomal RNA
Source: RNAcentral